Long non-coding RNA from Gallus gallus (chicken), 442 nucleotides. RefSeq lists it as uncharacterized. Lineage: Eukaryota; Metazoa; Chordata; Aves; Galliformes; Phasianidae. The transcript is spliced from 3 exons. The record is from RefSeq and is a predicted model, not a curated record.
AUCAUGUACUGCAGAUGUUCAGGUGCUUCCCACCAGUUCCAGGACAGUUUGUAUCAUCCCAUGGUAAAUGGUAGGACUGUGAUUCCAGCCCUGAGGCAGCCAGUUCCAGUUUUAGCAUGUCUGGCAAGCAGCACUCAGUGAUAUGACUUCAUCCAGGUCACGAUUGUAAGCUGUUAGCCUCCUAUCUUCUGGGGAUGAUAGACUGGACUUUGCAUUGGCCAUAUGGGACUAAUACAGGGAUUCAGAAGCAAAGAAAGAGCUGGGGCUGGUUUUAUGCUUUAGCUCUGCUGUGGACAUAUAUCCUCAUGCAUUUGGAACUCCAGGGUCACUGGAGACACUCUUGCCGUAUACAGAAGGGAAAAGAGAAUGUUCUUCCUUUAGACUAAUUAAAAAAGUACAUGGAGAAAAUACUUUGGCCACCAGAAUACACCUGGAGUACUGU